AUGCGUCCCGCCGGUGCGGCCUCCGCCUCCACCGCCGGCGAGGAUGGGAACGAGCGCGUGCUGAGCUACGGCGACGUCGUGCUCCUCCGCUCCGACCUUUCCAUCCUCCGUGGUCCCCACUUCCUCAAUGACCGCAUCAUCGCCUUCUACCUCGCCCACCUAUCCGCCGCCUUCGAAGGCGACGACGACGGCGACCUCCUCCUCCUGCCGCCCUCCAUACCCUACCUCCUGUCGAAUCUCCCGGACCCGGACUCCGUCGCCGCCGUCGCUGAGCCGCUCCGCCUUGCCUCCCGCAGCCUCGUCCUCCUCCCCGUCAACGACAACCCCGACGCCUCGGUCGCCGAAGGCGGCUCCCACUGGACCCUCCUCGUCCUCGACGCCACAAACGGCGCCUCCCGCCCGCGCUUCGUCCACCACGACAGCCUCGGCGUCCUCAACUCCGACGCCGCGCGCCAGCUCGCCGCCGUGCUCCGCCCGCUGCUCCCCGGUGCCGCCUACGGGGCCCUGCUCGUCGAGGGCCCUACCCCGAUGCAGGCCAACGGACACGACUGCGGCGUCUACGUCAUUGCAUUGGCCAGGGCUAUCUGUAACUGGUGGAGGGACCGUCGAGGGCAGCAGCAGGAGGGUGGAGCAGAUUGGUUCGACACGGUGAGGAAGGAGGUGGACGCCGAAAGCGUCAAGGCAAUGAGGGCCGAGCUGCUGCACCUGAUCGCUCGCCUCAUCCAAGACAAGGAGGAUGAGAAGAAGAACAAGGCCGGUGAGGGCCGCAAGGAAGAUUGA
RNAcentral lists this ribosomal RNA (780 nucleotides) under Triticum aestivum (bread wheat). RNAcentral describes it as "partial small subunit ribosomal RNA". The record is from RNAcentral. Lineage: Eukaryota; Viridiplantae; Streptophyta; Magnoliopsida; Poales; Poaceae.